Molecule: non-coding RNA, 234 nt
Filed under: Clostridium sp.
Lineage: Bacteria; Bacillati; Bacillota; Clostridia; Eubacteriales; Clostridiaceae
Description: T-box sequence
Rfam family: T-box leader
About the family: Uncharged tRNA acts as the effector for transcription antitermination of genes in the T-box leader family.
Source: RNAcentral
GAAAAAACUAUGAAAAAGAGGAGUAGGGUUUACACCAUUUUAAAGAGAAAAGAAGUCACCGGCUGAGAGCUUCUUAAAAAUAAGAAAACCUGAAGGUAGCUUUGGAGUUGAUUACUUGAAAUAAUAGUAAAGUGAUUCGUAAGUCUGCGUUAAAGAUAUAAGAGAUAUAUAAAAUUGUUUUAAAAUUAUUUUGUAUAAAUUAGGUGGUACCGCGUUUUUUAAAUCGUCCUAGUG